This 862-nucleotide ribosomal RNA is filed under the name Pediococcus sp. MUU4. RNAcentral's name for it is "bacterial SSU rRNA". It matches the Rfam family "Bacterial small subunit ribosomal RNA", at positions 56 to 871 of the family's 1533-position model. The record is from RNAcentral. Lineage: Bacteria; Bacillati; Bacillota; Bacilli; Lactobacillales; Lactobacillaceae.
UGCAAGUCGAACGCACUUUCGUUGAAUGAAUUAGAGGUGCUUGCACCGAAGAUGAUUUUAGCUAUAAAGUGAGUGGCGAACGGGUGAGUAACACGUGGGUAACCUGCCCAGAAGUGGGGGAUAACACCUGGAAACAGAUGCUAAUACCGCAUAACAAAGUAAACCGCAUGGUUUACUUUUAAAAGAUGGCUUCGGCUAUCACUUCUGGAUGGACCCGCGGCGUAUUAGCUAGUUGGUGAGAUAAAGGCUCACCAAGGCAGUGAUACGUAGCCGACCUGAGAGGGUAAUCGGCCACAUUGGGACUGAGACACGGCCCAGACUCCUACGGGAGGCAGCAGUAGGGAAUCUUCCACAAUGGACGAAAGUCUGAUGGAGCAACGCCGCGUGAGUGAUGAAGGCUUUAGGGUCGUAAAACUCUGUUGUUGGAGAAGAACGUGUGUGAGAGUAACUGCUAUGCAGUGACGGUAUCCAACCAGAAAGCCACGGCUAACUACGUGCCAGCAGCCGCGGUAAUACGUAGGUGGCAAGCGUUAUCCGGAUUUAUUGGGCGUAAAGCGAGCGCAGGCGGUCUUUUAAGUCUAAUGUGAAAGCCUUCGGCUUAACCGAAGAAGUGCAUUGGAAACUGGAAGACUUGAGUGCAGAAGAGGACAGUGGAACUCCAUGUGUAGCGGUGAAAUGCGUAGAUAUAUGGAAGAACACCAGUGGCGAAGGCGGCUGUCUGGUCUGUAACUGACGCUGAGGCUCGAAAGCAUGGGUAGCGAACAGGAUUAGAUACCCUGGUAGUCCAUGCCGUAAACGAUGAAUGCUAAGUGUUGGAGGGUUUCCGCCCUUCAGUGCUGCAGCUAACGCAUUAAGCAUUCCG